Molecule: microRNA, 23 nt
Filed under: Euprymna scolopes
Lineage: Eukaryota; Metazoa; Mollusca; Cephalopoda; Sepiida; Sepiolidae
Description: Esc-Mir-2722_3p (mature (guide))
Source: RNAcentral
UGGCGCCGUGUAAACAUCUACCU